UACGUAGGGGGCAAGCGUUGUCCGGAUUUAUUGGGCGUAAAGAGCGUGUAGGCGGUUUGGUAGGUCCGUUGUGAAAACUCGAGGCUCAACCUCGAGACGCCGAUGGAAACCAUCUGGCUAGAGUCCGGAAGAGGAGAGUGGAAUUCCUGGUGUAGCGGUGAAAUGCGCAGAUAUCAGGAAGAACACCCGUGGCUAAGGCGGCUCUCUAGUACGGUACUGACGCUGAGACGCGAAAGCGUGGGGAGCGAACAGG
RNAcentral lists this ribosomal RNA (253 nucleotides) under uncultured bacterium. RNAcentral's name for it is "partial 16S ribosomal RNA". It matches the Rfam family "Bacterial small subunit ribosomal RNA", at positions 524 to 776 of the family's 1533-position model. The record is from RNAcentral.